UUGUUUUUAUUUCUUCUACCAUCAUUCCAAAAUCCCAUUCAAUCUUUUUGGUGAUUGUGAUUGAUGAUAUAUUUUUUCUUGUAGCAAUUAGUAGCAUUCCUUUUUUUCCCAAGGAAAAUGAAACCCAACAAAUAGCAUAUGGGAAUGGGAGAGUAUGUAAACUUUUCUCUUUCUUUUUUUUUUUUUUUUCAUUGAAUGCCAUAUUUUGGCUGAGCGUCCAUCUUUUCUCUCCCAAUGUAGGAGGCUUAAGAUUCUUUGUCAGUCAUCUAGAUGAAGAAAUUCAGCAGCCCUUAGUUUGUACCUAAAGCCUUUCCCAAGCUGUCAUUUGCCUUUUCUCAUAAAGACAUAAACCCACCCUUCUCAUCCUUUUUUAGAUUUAAAUAAUCUUUAUUUUAGAGUCGCAAAUAUUGUUACAUCUCUUCACAAUAGAUAUGAAGCCAAGUAUGGAAAUAAAUAAAUAAAUAAAUUUAUGUAUGCUUGACAAAUCACAAAUGGGACUCUUCUCCAUUAUUUUCUUGGCCCCAAACAGAUUUUAAUUCAAGGUAAGGCAAAAUGCUGAUCCUGAUUGGCAUAUCUUUGAUUAGAGAUAUUUAUUGAUUGAGUAGGAUUAAACUUUAUUGAUAUGUUUAGCUUUAAAUUUCGAUAGACAAUUAAUCCAUUAAAAUUCAUUUAAAUUUGUUACUAUUUAAAAUGUUAAAAAUUUAUUUUAUAUUCAUAUUUUACAAUUAAAAAUUAAAUAAAAAUAUUUUUAUUAAUAAAAUACUCUUCCGAGCCAUGACGAACUUAAAAAGUCCUUUAAAAUCUCGACUCUAAUCAGAUUAGGUUCGCGGGUUUGACAUGUUGCCCCACCCAGACAUGGGUCUAAUCUUGAUUCGUACAAUAUUUUUCCUGUGCUGCUAUUUUUUUUUUCCACUAAAAUUUGUCCCUUUCCUAGGUUUCCUCUCGCUAUAACUGUACGUUUAACCAUUGAAUAUGUAGUAAUUUCUAGUACAUUUGAUGAUCUAAC
This 1006-nucleotide long non-coding RNA is filed under the name Durio zibethinus. Its description in RNAcentral is "long non-coding RNA (DZIB_LNC000257)". The record is from RNAcentral. Lineage: Eukaryota; Viridiplantae; Streptophyta; Magnoliopsida; Malvales; Malvaceae.